AAAAAAAAGAAAAGAAAAGCACCCGGAACAGAGUGGGCACCCCAUUAAGACUGCUGCAGUCAGUGAACUGGCCAAGGUAUUCUUUUUCAAUUCACAAUUUCGGAACAGAAAUAAAUGGCUUUGCAAAUGCCUUGUAGAGAAAACACUCAGCCCUGGUCUAUUGGUCUAAGCUCAACACUGAUGUCUAAGUUUUGGGGGCAAGGAGAGGGUCCUGCCUGGAAUACGGCAAGCAAUCUGUCGUGUGUAUUCCUAAACUCAUGAAGGAACCGCUGCCAUUUCCGUCAAUUUUUAACCUGACCCCUUCUUUACAUGGAUUUGCCUUAGAAAAGUCUUCUCCAGACAUAAACUGGCAUUUAACAAAAAAGAGGGAAAAUGAAAACAAUAAGGUAUCAUUUCUUACAUCUGCCUGGAAAGACCACGGAGGAUGAGCUGAGUGUGAGGCAAACAGAAGGAAAUCGGAGGGCUCACAGCUGACAAGGGUGUUAAUUGGAAUAAAGUCCUGGAGGGCGAUUUGACAAUCUGUAGCAAAAUCCAUUUAAAGUGGCAUACAUCCGGACCCAGAGUUCCUCCUUUUAGACCUUUAUUCCAAGGAUUCAGCAAAUAUGAACGAAAAUUUUGUGAGAGGAUUAUGACUCCUGGUUAAAAAAGGAGCGUGCACGCUAAGUAGUAUGAACUGGCAUGAACUGACAUCCUUUGUAAGAACUGCAUUUUGCAUCUGGGCGAAGUGGCUUAUGCCUGUAAUUCCAGCACUUUGGGAGGCUAAUGCCGGCAGAUAACCUGAGAUGCAAACGCGUCUCCAUGAGGAAGAGCAAGGCUCCUGCAGGAUGGAGAUCAGAUGGAUCAGGGAUCCCACAGACAGAACCUUUUGCCUGAUAUGAGCACCCUUGGGAGAGACCUCUUCACACAAAUGUUCCUUGCAAGGAAAACACUCCUGCCUCACUUUCUUCAACCCAGCCAUGACCUUUCUUGGGACAGGGUCACACCAGGGUUACAGCAUCUGCCUCCCAGCCUCCCAGCUGGCCAGCCCUUCUGCAGUGGCUCAGCCGCAGACCCCUCCUGCACACCACAGCCAAAAACGAUUCUGCCAGGACUACAGCAUCCCGUGAAACUGACGCUUAAUGAUGCAGAACUCCACGUUUCCUGUCGUCAACUUGUCAUCAUUUUCCUUCCCAGAACCCCCAGCACCUCUGACACCGACCUGGAUCUCUACUCCAGAAACUCAAAACCCAUUUUUGCCACACCGUCACGCUAGCUCUCCUUUGCUCCCCUAAUCCAGGUCCCCGUUUCUCUGCACCUGUGCCCACCACCGGGAAUCUCUCCUGUUAAGUCGCCUCCUCCAUCCCGCCUUCUCCUGACCCCGUUGGCCCAUGCGUCUUUGAACUUUUGCAGAAUUUGCAUCUGUAACAAAUUACUUGCUAUUUAAUUAUGUUCUGUCAUAUUAUUCCUGUUGAAUUUGGCUGAGAACCAUGCGCUCCUUGAAAGCAGAAACUGUCUUUGUUGUUCUGUGUCCUGAUUCAACCCACUAGCCCCAGAGCACGUCUGCAGGAAAGGCCUUCUAAGCUCAGGUCAUCAAGCUCCUCCCAACUGCACUCUUUUACUUCUGUUUUUCCAAGUCGAUCUUUUUUUAAAAAAAAACAAAAAACUUAAAUGAAUUCAUUAUUAAAAAAACUUUUUAUCACCUCCAGAAAUGGAAAACUGUAUCAUUUGCCAUCAGUAGAAUUUGGCUGUAAAAGCAAAUUCCAUGUAAACAGAACAAUGCUGUUGGGUCCUACUUCCUCAGUCUGAGACCUGCUCUUUCUCCCGUGGUCAUGGAGACUCCAAGUUCUAAAGACAUACUAGGAACAGAGAGCAGCUUUUAUUGUAUCCAGAAGAAGAGAGACAGAAAAAAACAGAACCACCUGAAAAGUGAACAACUUCCUCACUCUGUGAUUGGCAGUUGUUGAAUCCAGUGAACAGGCACCACCAAAGAUCACCCUCAGCCCACACCUCAGGACCCUCUGGUACAGACUCCAAAAUCUACCACUUACUGUGUGAGUUCCAAGUAACAAACUCUGAGUAUUAUCUUAUUUAACUCACUCUGGGGUGAGUUCUCUAAGGAAGAACCCAUUAUUAUCCCGCUUUCCAGAUGAGGAAACUGAACAUAGCAGGAGAAAGAAGCUUGACCACAACCACACAGUAGUAAGUGACUAAGUCAGGACCCAGUGAGGAUAAACAGUCAUCCUAAGUUUUAUAAGACAGAAAAUUUAAUUACAGGGACUUCCUAGAUGGUAGAAGAGCCAAAACGUCAGACAAGGGACAUUGAGGCAACCCUGGUGUCCACAGCAUCAGGAAGUGGCUACCACCUCUCAGAUGCACAAGGAAGGAGGCAGUUAUCAGAGCCCAGGAAUCAGACUCACUGAAGGGAAGCUAGAACCAGGGUGGGUCUCUGUGGCAGGAGCUGGCUUGUAGAAGGAAAGAGCCUCCAGGCAAGACAGCCCAACAAACAGAGUCAAGAAGCCCACCCAGACUCCUGUACACACCCAUGUCCCUCCAGGCUUCCCAUUGGUCCAACCCAGUCAGAAGCCAGAGACACAGGAACCCGGGGCUCAUAGCCUGCAGAGGCCAGACCCCCCAUGAUACAGGGCAGAGCAGGGGUGGAUGGGAGGAGGGGGAUGCUUUGAGACCACCAGGCACAGGCUCACCCAGGUGGUCUUAUUCUGGGGUCUUUUCACUCACACAAACCAUGUUGUAGUUGACUAUUGGAUUUCAUGAGAUAAGAGUUCAUGUGUGUUCUUCCCCAUUCCAAGAAGAGGUGGGCUCUUCCUACUUCCUAGCUACCUGCAGCUACCUGGAGCUUUCUUCUAACAUCUAGGGAGUCCCUGUAAGUAAAUUUUCUGUUUUAAAACUGUUUAAAGUUGUCUGAAGACAAUUUUUCCUCCACUCUUUUAAGCCCAUUGAAAAGGUAGUGCAAAGUUUCCCGGAGUAAGAGAGGUGAAGGGGAAGUGGAAUUGUGUUUCUUGGAUUGAGAACAGAUCUGAGGUUCACGGAGCCUGUGGGCAGGGGUUACCUGCGUCU
This 3054-nucleotide long non-coding RNA is filed under the name Homo sapiens (human). Its description in RNAcentral is "HSALNT0049260". Lineage: Eukaryota; Metazoa; Chordata; Mammalia; Primates; Hominidae. The record is from RNAcentral.